GUGAUUACAUAAUUUAUCAUCCAAGCUGGUACACAUUUGAAUGUGAAAGAGACACUAGUAAUAAUCAUGUCAGUAAACUAGGGAAAAGGGAGAGCUUUGCCAGGCAAACUGUGAUAAAGGGUUCCCGUAGGUAAAAUAAAUUUUAUCUAUCAAGAACCAUAAAGAUAAUCUAAAAAGAAGUUCGUUCUUUUGUUUUAAGCUUUUAAGGGAAUUUAGUUAGUUAUCAAGUGUUCUGAACUAAGUUAAAGAAAGAAAUCACCACAUAAUUUGGAAAGAAACCACCUAUAGACAUUAUACAAAGCAUUUUCCUUUCUUUUGAUAUUUUCUAAAGGUCAAAAGUUUGGAAUCCUACAAUUAUUUUGCAUUUGAAAAUGAUGAAUCAAAAAAGAAAUCAGAAUCCACCAAAAUAAUGGAAUGUCUUUCUCAAGGACCCUGGAGCCAUCCAUUCCUUUGAAAUGUCCUCGUUAAGAAAGACAGGAACCCCUUCUCCUCCGUUCUAUGCGAGUAUAGGAACUUUGCAUUGGCUAGCAAUAAGUGGUACAAUACUCUCUCAAGAUGCUUUGCAGUAGCAGCGAGCCACAGCUCCUAGUCAGCCAGAUCAUCAGAAGAGGAAACACUGAAUACUUGGCAUCUUCCUAAAGAACACUAUGCCUGCUAAACCAUAGGCAAGUGUCACAUUCCUCAGCACCGUCUACUUGCUAUUCUCAACCCUCAUCAGAAGAGAGAGAAACUGGGUACUCAUUCUCUGUUGCAACCCCAUCAUCCAGCAAUUAACUUUAGUUCAAGUCUUCAAGCAUUCGUCAGACCUACGGUGCUUUCUGCUAUGUGUGUUAAUGGCACACAAGAGAUGACAUUAAUAGAUGAAAGUGAGGCUACUCUUGCCACAUUAUCAGAAAUUUUGAACAGCACUGACUUACAAUGGGGAAGGUGGAGUUUUGCUCUUGUUUCCCAGGCUGGAGUGCAAUGGUGCAAUCUCAGCUCACGGUAACCUCCGCCUCCUGGAUUCAAGUGAUUCUCCUGCCUCAGCCUCCUGAGUAGCUGGAAUUACAGACAUGUGCCAUCACGCCCACCUAAUUUUGUGUUUUUUGUAGAGACAGGGUUUCUCCAUGUUGGUCAGGCUGGUCUCAAACUGCCGACCUCAGACGAUCCACUUGCCUUGGCCUCCCAAAGCACUCGGAUUAUAGGCAUGAGUCACCGCGCCCAUCCCACACUGAAUUUCAAUGAGUAAGGCUUUAUGUAUAACACAGUUUUGCUUUUCAAAAGUAAACAAACAAUUUGAUAGCUUUUCUUUUUUUUUAAUUUCAUUAGUUGAAAUAAUAGGUUGAAUUUGGUUUUCUGAGUCUUCUACUUGUAUUAUAACUAAAAUAAUGCAAAUUCUCAUUGAUAAAAAGGAUACAAUUUUUUUUAAUCUCUCAAAAAUUUUGUGUUUGGAUUUUUGUUGGCAUAUAGAGGGCAUAUAUAUUUAUGGAGUACAUGAGGUGUUUUGAUACAGGCAUGCAAUGCUUAUUAAUUACAUAAUGGAAAAUGGGAUAUCCAUCCCUUCAAGCAUUUAUCCUUUGUGUUAACAAAAAUACUAUAAUUGGAUUGUUUGUAUUUUAAAAUGUAUAAUUAAAUUAUUACUGACUACAGUCACUCUGUUGUGCUAUAAAAUACUAGGCAUUAUUGUUUUUAACUAUGUUUUGUACUCAAUAACCACUCUUACACCUCUCUCUCCCCACACUGCCCUGUUUCCCUUCCCAGCCUCUGGUUACCAUCUUUCUACUCUCUAACUCCAUGAAUUCAGUUGUUUUGAUUUUUAGAUUCCACAAAUAAAUAAGAACAUGCA
RNAcentral lists this long non-coding RNA (1825 nucleotides) under Papio anubis (olive baboon). Its description in RNAcentral is "lncRNA (ENSPANG00000050006.1)". The record is from RNAcentral. Lineage: Eukaryota; Metazoa; Chordata; Mammalia; Primates; Cercopithecidae.